This 900-nucleotide ribosomal RNA is filed under the name Inocybe sp. Its description in RNAcentral is "partial large subunit ribosomal RNA". It matches the Rfam family "Eukaryotic large subunit ribosomal RNA", at positions 72 to 962 of the family's 3401-position model. The record is from RNAcentral. Lineage: Eukaryota; Fungi; Basidiomycota; Agaricomycetes; Agaricales; Inocybaceae.
GGAUUCCCCUAGUAACUGCGAGUGAAGCGGGAAAAGCUCAAAUUUGAAAUCUGGCAGUUCUUGACUGUCCGAGUUGUAAUCUAGAGAAGUGUUACCUGUGCUGGACCGUGUACAAGUCUCCUGGAAUGGAGCAUCAUAGAGGGUGAGAAUCCCGUCUUUGACAUGGACUACCUGUACAUUAUGGUGCGCUCUCAAAGAGUCGAGUUGUUUGGGAAUGCAGCUCAAAAUGGGUGGUAAAUGCCAUCUAAAGCUAAAUAUUGGCGAGAGACCGAUAGCGAACAAGUACCGUGAGGGAAAGAUGAAAAGAACUUUGGAAAGAGAGUUAAACAGUACGUGAAAUUGCUGAAAGGGAAACGCUUGAAGUCAGUCGCGUUGUCUGGAAAUCAGCCUUGCUUUUGCUUGGUGUACUUUCUGGUUGACGGGUCAGCAUCAAUUUUGACCACUGGAUAAAGUCUCUGGGAAUGUGGCAUCCUUGGAUGUGUUAUAGCCCUAGGUCGCAUACAGUGGUUGGGAUUGAGGAACUCAGCACGCCGCAAGGCCGGGUUUCGACCACGUUCGUGCUUAGGAUGCUGGCAUAAUGGCUUUAAUCGACCCGUCUUGAAACACGGACCAAGGAGUCUAACAUGCCUGCGAGUGUUUGGGUGGAAAACCCAUGCGCGUAAUGAAAGUGAAAGUUGAGAUCCCUUCAGGGAGCAUUGACGCCCGGACCAGACCUUCUGUGACGGAUCCGCGGUAGAGCAUGUAUGUUGGGACCCGAAAGAUGGUGAACUAUGCCUGAAUAGGGUGAAGCCAGAGGAAACUCUGGUGGAGGCUCGUAGCGAUUCUGACGUGCAAAUCGAUCGUCAAAUUUGGGUAUAGGGGCGAAAGACUAAUCGAACCAUCUAGUAGCUGGUUCCUGCG